Molecule: long non-coding RNA, 3580 nt
Organism: Symphalangus syndactylus (siamang)
Lineage: Eukaryota; Metazoa; Chordata; Mammalia; Primates; Hylobatidae
Source: RefSeq, a predicted model, not a curated record
GGGACCAGAUGGGAGAUAGUUGAGUCGUGGGGGCAGGUCUUUCCCCAUGCUGUUCUCAUGAUAGUGAAUAAGUCUUAUGAGAUCUGAUGGUUUUAUAGGGAAAAACCCUUUUGCUUGCUGUCAUUCUUCUCUUGUCUGCCAUCAUGUGAGACAUGCCUUUCACCUUCCGCUGUGAUUGUGAGGCCUCCCCAGCCACGUGGAACUGGCUCAGAUGAGAUGAGAGCACUGCAGGAAGAAGAAAAACAAGUUCCCGAGUCUCCCAAAGCCAACAGUCCCACAGAGCACAGGCCUUUUCUAAGUGGAGAGGAGGAAUUUUGGUGUAAAUUGCCAGAUCAGAAAUUUGGAUCCAAAGUCUUUCCUAUUAUCUCUGUCUCAUGCCUUAUCACCUCUACCAUCAUUCUAGUGUGUCCUGAGUUUGUUCCUUCUGGUGGGUUCAGGGUCUGGCUGACUUCAAGAAUGAAGCCACAGACCCUUGGAGUGAGUGUUAUAGCUCUUAAAGUUGGCACAGACCCAAAGAGUGAGCACAAAAUUUACUGUGAAGAGCGAAAGAACAAAGCUUCCACAGCAUGGAAAGGGACCUGAGCAGGUUGCCGCUGCUGGCUGGGGUGGCCAGCUUUUAUUCCCUUAUUUGUCCCUGCCCAUGUCCUGCUGAAUGGUCCAUUUUAAAGAGUGCUGAUUGGUCCAUUUUACAAACAUCUAGCUAGCCACAGAAUGUCAAUUGGUGUGUUUUUACAGAGCACUCAUUGGUGCAUUUAGAAACCUCUUGUAAGACAGAAAAGUUCUCCAAGUCCCCACCCAACCCAGAAGUCCAGCUGGCUUCACCUCUCACUACAGAAACCGAAUCUGUGUCUAAAAGAGGAUUAAAAGGUAUUACCUGUUGGCUGAAGUCCAGAGUGUCCUGGGAAAAAGAGGAAACGAUAUACACUUAAAAGAUAUGGAAGCAAAUCUGUCCUCCAACACAAUGUCCCAGCCCCAGAUCUCCCACCUGAGAGUUCUCUAACACCACAACCCACACCAACCAGGGCAGAGAAGAGCAGAAACAGACAUGUGACCCAUGAAGCGUGAAGUGUCUGUCACAGGAUCCAGUGUAAUUCCAUUAACCUUAGUGGCUCUUCCUUAAUUUGCUCCAGGGUCUCAAACCAAAGGACCCCUACUUGUUAACCUUCCUCUCGUCUCUGCAGGCCACAAGCUAUUAUGCUUUGACAUAGUAACCAUGCACUAUUUCUGGAUUAGCAGGACAGUAGAGCCGUUUGCGGAAAGAAAGGCUUUAUUCAGGGCCACUCAUAUACUGAGAACUAACUUCAGCAAAGCCAUAGUUCUUCCUGCAGGAAAGUCUAUGGAGAGAGCCAGCUACCAAAGGCUCCUCACCUUUCUGAUUCCUGAAGUAGAUGAACAGCCCGGCCCCAAGGAAGAGGAGGCCCAGCACAAAGCCCCCGACUCCACUCAGCAUCUUGCUCUGUGCAGAUUCAGACCGCGCUCCUGAGAGAGGAAGCCAGCUUUAGUGAUGUUCAAAUGGAACCUCUUUAAUUGAGACUCUAAGAUUCAGAGCUUUGAAAAUGGGGAAGAAGGCUGCCCCACAAGAGCUAAAAUAACUAGCCAUUUCUGGAGAAAAAAAGGAUUUCAAAUCACACUGAACAGCUACAAGGUGCAGACAUCAAACUCAUUCAAAUAUUACAGCAUUGAUGUAAGGCACGAGUUCAACAUCUGAUCCACAGAAAGCCUGAGACUCAAUGAGGCUAAGUAGUUUGUCUAGACUGGCAGAGCUAAUAAAAGGCAGAGCUGGGAUUGGACUCCCCUCAUGUCAGGUAGGCCCCUAAGCUUCUCCUCUUCCCAGAUCAAAACAAGUAACUCAGAGCAGCAGCACCAGAAACUCAGUCUCAGACCCAGAGGCAGGGCCUGGAGCCUGGGGAGAGUGGGUGACCCUGACCUUUGACAUCAUGGGGAGAUUCAAAAAAAAAAAGCAUGACUGAUUCCGCAGGGGGUACAGGUGUUUCUAGAAACUGUUACAGGGCUAUCCCCAGUGACCUGUGCUGAUGGAGAUGAGAACAUGGAGCAAAUGAAAAUAGGAUGUGGGAGAGGAGAAACCUGACACUCAGGGAUUAGCACAGUCCCCUUCUUGGUGGGUGAGAAAUGUAUGAAGUCAGAAAGCUGCUCACUCCAUUCCACUGUGAGAGGUCUCGUUACACUUGGGUGCUCCACUUGGCAGGUGUAAACCUCUCCACUCCGAGGAACUGUUUCCAGCAUCACCAGGGUCUGGAAGGUCCAGUCUCCAUUCUGGAUCAGGCCUGUGGACACCACCCCAGCCUUCUCUUCCUGGCCGUUCCGGAACCACCUGACUUCAAUGCUGCCUGGAUAGAAACCACUCACAGAGCAGACCAGGAGGCUGUGGUGCUGCAGGGGCUGGGUCUUUGCAGGAUACACAGUCACCUUAGGAGGGACUAGGAGAAAAAAUGGUAGAGGGAAUGAGUCAGGAAGACAGAGUAAUUCUCCUGGUUUGGCUGUUUGUCUGCUUCUCUGCAAACCCAGGCUCUGACCUUGACGAGGCCUCCAGCACAGCUGGCCAUGUGGCCUUACAGUGUCAUCAGCCUGGAAUUUAAUCUUGAUAGUGAGGACCCAUUAUAUUUGAGGGAUGUGAAAAAUUGUGUUUGCUUCUUCAUAGCUUGAAAUUGGCAUGCAUUGUGAAAGUGUUUACAAAUCUUUGAAAGUACAGAGUGUAGUAAUUAAAACUGAUAUCUGAGCCAGGUUGCCUGGUUCAAAUCCAAGGUCUGCCUUUUACUGGUUGAUCCUGGAAGAGUUGAUUCUUCUGUGUCUCAACUUUGUCACCUACAAUGAAGGAUUAUUAUAUUAAUUUACCUCUUGGGGUUAUAUGAGGAUUAAUUUACAUAAAAUACAUAAAACAAUGACUGAAGAUAGCCUUCAAUUUAUGAGGUCAGAAAGCUUCUCACUCCAUUCCACUGUGAGGCGGCUCAUCACACUUGGGUGCUCCACUUGGCACCCUUUUAUCAUCCUUGUAUACCUCGACAGAAAAAUAUGAUUUAAAGCAAUGUGCAUAGACAAAGGGACAGAGUUGGGUACAUGAGGAAACCGCGUAUGAAUUUUUAGGAAUACUACCGCCAUGCACUCACACCUUAGGACACCACAGAAAUGGUUCUACCCCUGGGAAGGUGGGACAGACAGAAAUGAUUCUCCAAAUUUUUACAUUCCUAGAAAAGCAUGAGUCCUAAAGCAGAGAGAAGGAUUUAGGAGCAUCGUUUUAGUUUUUAAAGUUCUUAUAUUUACAUUUAGCUGCUCAGUGUAUCCCCGUGCAACACAAGCAUAAUUAUUAUCAGGCCUAUUGUAAAAUGAUUUUUCUUUCCAGAAUCACAUUUGGAUUAAGGCAGGGUCUGGAACCCAUUACUCGGGGUGCUUAUGCCCAGGAAAAUCCCUGACACUAGCAUACUCUCAAUAAAUACAAUUUUUUAGAGGUAAGGAGAAACCUAGAGACAAAAAUACCACAAAAUGGUGGAUUUAAGAUGGAUUGUAAAUCAUUAAUAAAAUUUUUGCAAUACAUUUUAUUAAAUAAAAAUGUUCAAAUUCUUAA